AUCCAGCCGACAAGUUCCGAACAGGACGAAAUGCACAUCCUGGAU
This 45-nucleotide non-coding RNA is filed under the name Trichobilharzia regenti. Lineage: Eukaryota; Metazoa; Platyhelminthes; Trematoda; Strigeidida; Schistosomatidae. The record is from RNAcentral.